This 265-nucleotide ribosomal RNA is filed under the name uncultured bacterium. RNAcentral's name for it is "partial 16S ribosomal RNA". It matches the Rfam family "Bacterial small subunit ribosomal RNA", at positions 90 to 354 of the family's 1533-position model. The record is from RNAcentral.
CUUAAGUGGCGGACGGGUGAGUAACGCGUGGGUAACCUGCCGUAUACAGGGGGAUAACACUUAGAAAUAGGUGCUAAAACCGCAUAAGCGCACAGUGCCGCAUGGGCGCAGUGUGAAAAACUCCGGUGGUAUACGAUGGACCCGCGUCUGAUUAGCCAGUUGGCAGGGUAACGGCCUACCAAAGCGACGAUCAGUAGCCGGCCUGAGAGGGUGGACGGCCACAUUGGGACUGAGACACGGCCCAAACUCCUACGGGAGGCAGCAG